UCCACGAAGUUGGAUUCGCUAGUAAUCGCGCAUCAGCCAUGGCGCGGUGAAUACGUUCCCGGGCCUUGUACACACCGCCCGUCAAGCCAUGGGAGCCGGGGGCGCCUGAAGUCCGGGACCGCGAGGACCGGCCUAGGGCGAAACUGGUAACUGGGGCUAAGUCGUAACAAGGUACC
Molecule: ribosomal RNA, 176 nt
Filed under: uncultured bacterium
Lineage: Bacteria
Description: partial 16S ribosomal RNA
Rfam family: Bacterial small subunit ribosomal RNA
Source: RNAcentral